This 429-nucleotide ribosomal RNA is filed under the name Pseudomonadota bacterium. RNAcentral describes it as "Proteobacteria bacterium partial 16S ribosomal RNA". It matches the Rfam family "Bacterial small subunit ribosomal RNA", at positions 355 to 776 of the family's 1533-position model. The record is from RNAcentral. Lineage: Bacteria; Pseudomonadati; Pseudomonadota.
UGGGGAAUAUUGGACAAUGGGCGAAAGCCUGAUCCAGCCAUGCCGCGUGUGUGAAGAAGGUCUUCGGAUUGUAAAGCACUUUAAGUUGGGAGGAAGGGCAGUAAGCGAAUACCUUGCUGUUUUGACGUUACCGACAGAAUAAGCACCGGCUAACUCUGUGCCAGCAGCCGCGGUAAUACAGAGGGUGCAAGCGUUAAUCGGAAUUACUGGGCGUAAAGCGCGCGUAGGUGGUUCGUUAAGUUGAAUGUGAAAGCCCCGGGCUCAACCUGGGAAAUGCAUCCAAAAAUGGCGAGCUAGAGGAGGGCAGGGGGGGGUGGAAUUUCCUGUGUAGCGGUGAAAUGCGUAGGUAUAAGGAGGAACACCAGUGGCGAAGGCGACCACCUGGGCUCAUACUGACACUGAGGUGCGAAAGCGUGGGGAGCAAACAGG